UCAGCUGUAGAUGUAAUCUUCAUGGCAGAGGUACCAAUCAUAAUGUUGUCAUAAUUAUGAGGCUGUGCCACAUAUGAUGUAUCGUUACGCAAUCCAGCAUUAAGAUUACUAUUCCUUGUGGCUGGUCGUGGCAUCUGGGAUGAUGAUGGUGAUGCAGCAUUAUUGCCAACAUUUCUACGUGCGAAUGAAUCCUCAACAUAAUUGUACUGUUUGUUGUUGGAAACAUCAUUGUAAGGUGACCAGUUCUUCAUAACUAACCGCUGCUGUGGUCUACCACCACUAGGGGCUACAUUCUCUCUGCGCUUUUGUAGCUCAUUGUUCCUAUUAUCUGGCCCUUUGAAUGCUACUGAAGUUUUCUUGGAC
This 363-nucleotide long non-coding RNA is filed under the name Setaria italica (foxtail millet). RNAcentral describes it as "long non-coding RNA (SITA_LNC007385)". Lineage: Eukaryota; Viridiplantae; Streptophyta; Magnoliopsida; Poales; Poaceae. The record is from RNAcentral.